CCCUGCGUCAGCUCGCGGGCGUCGCUCCCCUUCUCUCUGUGGACCCUGAGCUGCCUGGCAGCCCGUGGGGAGGAGCCUGCUGCAGACCCCAGCCCUCCUUGCUGCCUCUCUGCAGACGCACAGGCGCUACCUCCUCUCUGCGGAGUGCUCGGCCCCCACAGGACAGGCUAGAUUGGAUGCCACUUUUGGUGACAGGUUGGGGAGGCAGCUGGGUUUGAUGCAGACUGACAGCCCUCCCCUGCCCUGAGUUGUGCGGAACCGUCUUUGCAGCUCCGGAGCCAUCCGAUGGUAUUGAUCCUGGUGUGGAAAUUGGUAUUGACUGCAGCUGCUGCUCUGCGCACUUCCCCGGCUCUUAAAGACACAGCGUAGAGGACUUGUGUGGUCAAUCUGUGCUGGUCAGCUGUCCAUCACUGAGGAAUACCUGAAGGAAUCAACUUAAAGGAGGAAAGAUGGACUGGGCUCCUGGUUCCAGAGGUUCCGAGCGUGGCCCGCUGGCUCCCUUGUUCCUGGGUCGUGGUGGAAGAGACUGCCCACCUCCCCACAGCCUGACAGCAGACAGGGAGGGCUGGGGACGAAGCUCACCUUCAAAGGCACACCCGCAGUGACCUCCCAGGAGCCUCCUGACUUACGGCUGCACCAGGGAGGAGUCAGCCCGCACCUGUCACCUUCCCGACUCCCCACCUCUGAGGAGCGCCUCAGGACCAGCCAGCACCUGAGCUUUCGGGACGUGCCAGCCCCAGACCAUGACUGUCUUGUUGAGCACAAUGGCACAGGACAGUCCCCGUCGAGGUCCUUCAGUUGAGGUCUAGGCAGGCCUUUCCUUGUGAGGGGCACCUUCCCAGGCCGCGGGGAUCAGGAGGUGCACACACUGGCACCAGCCAGUGCUCUGCCCCUGAAGCCAUGGUGUCUGCGACUCUCGGCUGCUCCAGGAGAGCCUAGGAGAGUUAGAGAGAGGCUGGCGUUUGACUUUAAUAACGGGCAGCAGUGUCACUCACGGAUGGCGUGUUCACAGAGCGGGUCACCCGUCCAGCCACCCAGGACGCCCUGUUCUAAGUCAGAGGCCGUCCCCAGGCUCACCCGCGGGCAUGCGUCUCUGAUCCCACUCGGCGGCCGCCGUGAACACGAGAGUCUGGGUGCUCCAGACACCCGCAGGUGAGCGCGGAGAGAAACACGGAGAAUGGCACAAGGAGAGCCACGUGCUGUGUGGCCUGCCCAGGGGGACUCAGCCGCGGGCAGGUGGGGAAGCUGCUGAAGGGGACCUAGGACAGGCCAUCUACGGCCCCGUCCCACGUGGCAGACAGAGCACAGAGGCAGGUGUGAAGGGCCUGGUCCCAGUCCACUCGCACCUCGAGAGCUGCUCCCCACAGGACAUCAGGUGCCCGUGCUUGACUCCUGAGACGUUCUGCCUCUUCCUGAGGGGACCAUGAUGCUGUGGCCUCUGUCCUAGAGAGGCCAUUUCCCUGAGGCUUCAGCCUAUGGGCCACCUGUCACCUGCUCUCAGUCACUGCAGGCAAAGGACCUGGCAGAGUCCUGUCGGCCUCCAUGGCUAAGGGAGACCUUGGGCUGAGCUGUGGGGAGGGCCAGGAGGGCAGCCCUCCAGACAGGGAGGGAAGGCGAGGCCUCAUGAAUACUUAACCAGACACAAGUAAGUAUUAAUGAAACAAUGUAUCUCUAAGUGCUUAGAUUACCUUCCAUGCUCCAGUCCAUCUUUAUUUCACCUUGGCUUAUGCAUGCCUGUGCGUGCACACCCAUGCAUGAACACACACACACACACACACACACACACACACAAACACGCAGACACACAGAUUAGACAUUUUUUAUACAUCUGCUCUGAUAAUUACUUAAUGUGAUAAUCCCCAUUUAGCUUAAUCUAACCCUUUCCAAGUUUAUUCCUGAAGCUGCAGAAGUGUGAUUCUCCCGUGAAAUUGCUGGGAUCCCACCAAGGCCCGAGCCUCGUCUGGGCUGCUUCCAUGGUGCAGAGCCGUGAGCGGAGGGAAAGCAGGGAGCUGAAUUCGAGCUCACGUGUGGCAGCGGCUCUGUUCUGCAUGCAGUUGCUCCCAAUUCUCCAAAUGAGCGCUGGGCUUGCUCUCCCAGAACAAUGAGGGCUCUCCUCCCUCCCACAAGGGCCCGGAGCUGCCCAGGGAGCGUUUCCGGACCCUCUUGGUGAACUUUCAGCCCGCUAUCAGCGAGUUUCUGCUGCUGCUCUGCAGGACCAUUGCCUUAUCAGUGUCACACUGUGUCCAUCCACAUUGACUCCUUCCAUUUGUGUGGUCUGUUGUUCUUCUUUUAUCCACUACAAAGUCUUCUCUCUUUAAUGCUCCUGCUUUUGCCCUGCACUUUGGUUCCAUAACUUAUUUUUCAGUUCCUGAAUUCUGGAUUUGCAUUCUGCAUGGCUUUGUUCAGCCCCUUCCAGGAGCACUGAGAUGCCAAAGCCCCUUGCUUGCCCCUUCCCUGCUUGCCACGUGGCCUCGGCAUUGGCUUUCCACCAUGUAAGUGCACUGCUUUUCCACAGUCAAGUAAAUAGAAGUCUCUGACCUCCUUGGGGUCCCCCCACCCCAUGCUCUGCUGAGACCACCUGUAGCCCAGCCGUGGUGGAAGAAUUGAGCCACUGAGGCGAAGCCACUCCUCAGGGAAACCCAGCCAUCUUAAAGCCAAUGCUAAUGAUCCUUUGAUUUUCUCUGCAAAGAAGAGCAUUUGGAAGGAGAAGAUGUGUGGCCCUGUGUGCGUCAGAGUGCAUUCUAGAAGGCAGGAAGGAGGAGGAAAGCACCUGACUCACUUUCCCACCUGCAUAAAAGCCACACCCCAGCUCAGUCCUGGACCUGUGGCCAUUGCCUCUGCCUGUCCCCAUGGACAUGACGUCCUUCCUAAGCCAAGCUGCUGGAGCCGCAGUGCACCAAUGGGCAGUGCAGGGGAUCAGAACAUUUAAAGUCAGGCACUUUCUUCAGCCCAGCUGGACACAGAGGUCUCCUGUAGGAAGCUGGUAAGUGGGAAGUCUUUGGUGGAGGACAUGGCUGCUGACCAGACAGAAUCAAGAGUCAGUCCUGCAGAUCUGAGAAUCUGAACAGGGAAGUCAGCGUGCUCACACAGAAGCGUGUACAGGCAGAGUUAGCUUUCAGAACAGAAUCCUGGCUCCUGGUUUCUGGACGAACCCCCCCCCCUUGCUCGUUGAGUAGCCUCACAGUCCUGAGUGGGUCUGUCUUCAGUUGUAGGGUUCUUCAUGUGCACAGCUCCUCGUACCCUCUCUCUGAGCCUCGUGUCCCUGGUUGCAACCUCCUGGCUCUGCACCUGCUCUGUGCUCACAUGCCACCAGUGCCUCUGUGACAUAAGAGGUUUCCUAAACACUUCCUUUGACCUUAAACAGGAAAUUACAUUUGAUUUUAGAAAUGCAGGAGGAAAACUGAUAAAUAAGCCUGUGCCCCAUCUUCUAAUAAAAUAGAUAUUUAACCCUUGGGGAAGAGUAAUAAGAAAACUAUCUCUGAGUGUAUAUUUGCUCAAUGAGAAUGAAGAGCUCCUGGCUGAGCCCUGCAAUGGCCCUUCGUCUUUGACAGACACCUGGCCUGUCAUCCUUGCCACCUCGGCCUUGCCACAUGCUACGUUAAAAUCACUCCUGAGUGGCUUAGCCAUUAACUCAUGCAUCAACCACCAGCUACAGGCCUGCGUCAGGUGACGCAGAGCCAAUAAAGCUCAGCCCUGGAGCACCAGGGGCUGCCAACUCACGCUGGGUCGCGAGACUCCAGUAUCUAAUCGUGGUGAGCACCACCAAUCUAAUAAUCCCACGGGAAGGAGCCUCCCAGGGAGGCAGAGAGCAGCUCACUGUGUCCUGGGGGAGAAAGCAGAGCCCAGGAGCCUCCCCUGGGAGCUGAGGCUGGAGUCAGGCUGGGUGGCGUGUCCCCAGCACCCGGCCGAGGGUGCAGAGUGGCGUGUCCCCAGCACCCGGCCGAGGGUGCAGAGUGGCGUGUCCCCAGCACCUGGCCGAGGGUGCCGAGCAGGAAGCCACCGACAAGGAGGCCAGAUGGAAGCGCAUCUUACCUUCCCCGAUUCUACAACAAUGCGGAGGAGUUCUAACUCAGAAAGCAGCAUUCAGAGCUGCUUGAGAAAGAUCUCCUGGCUGCGCUGUCAAGGGGGGAUUGGGGAGCAGGGGAGGUGGGAUAAGGGCCCAGGGACACUUCUAGUCUUGACUUGAAACACUUCAGAGAAUAAACGCAUUUAUUCUAGAGACAUUAUUACAGCUAUGAAAAGAAGGUGGUCAAGGAAAAUGCUCAUGUGCUGGCUUGGAUGACUGGGUAGAGGGCCAAACCCUCAGAAAUUAAGAAAUCAAAGGAGAAAGCCAUUUCUACAGGUAGUUAUGAGGAGCGGUGGAGAAAGUGUAGGAAAAGGAGGGUGUUUCUCAGUUGAUUUCUGUAGAAAUGCGUCUGCAUGUUCCCCUUGAGAUGGGCAGAAGUCCUGGUCCUCACCUUGGUAGAUGUGCUCCAACACAGCAGGCGAGGCCCAGGGAAGCAGGGUCAGCCUGUGGGGAGGGAGCCAUUCCCUGCAGCCCAGAGAGGCCGCUCUGCGUGCAGAUCACAGGAAAUCAGAAUGUGGGGAACUGGACUGAGGCGCUUGGAAGAAAUUAAGCUAGAGAGAUGAAGUCCCUUAAAUGUCCUCUGCACCAGCUGACGGCCCACAAUCCCAGAACUCGGGGGGCUGAGGCAGGAGAAUGCAGGUUGAGGCCAGCCUGGGCACCUAGCGAGACCCUGUCUCAAAAGAAAAUAUGAAAAGUGCUGGGAUGUGGCUCAGGGGUCUAGCACCCCUGGCCUGGAUCUCCUGUACUCCCGGAACUCCUGUGGGUGACAGCAGGACGGGCCUGAGAGUCUGGGUGCAGUGGAGCACCCAGGCAGCACUGAGGAGGGACGAGGGGCCGGCCAAGGGACAGUGGUGGACGGAGAAAGCCCAUCUGUCUUACAGGACAGCCUUGAGGACCAACGAGGUAGGAGAGGUCAGAUGCGUGGCGUGCGCGGCCAUCCCAGUGUGCUCCGCGGGCCUCUGUCGCAAAGGCUGCGCUCAGGCCUGUCACUUUGGUUGUGUCAGCACUUGUACUUUCUGCUAAGCAGACUCCACUUUAUAUAAUCCCUUCAAAGUCACUCGUUAAGUCUCAAGUUUGUCACAGGAAGCAGCAGCCCCAGCGACCAAGCCUGGUGUCCAGGCCUCAAAACUGCUGGUCCUGCCUCGCAGGGGCCAACACCCCGUCUCAUUCCAAGGCUCCAGUUCCUGUUCAAGGCAUAAUUUAUGACAAAACUGAAUCUUGUUCUUAAUAUUUACCUAAUUAAAAGAUGACUUAGGAUCCUU
Molecule: non-coding RNA, 5328 nt
Organism: Ictidomys tridecemlineatus (thirteen-lined ground squirrel)
Lineage: Eukaryota; Metazoa; Chordata; Mammalia; Rodentia; Sciuridae
Source: RefSeq, a predicted model, not a curated record